UACGUAGGGGGCAAGCGUUGUCCGGAUUUAUUGGGCGUAAAGAGCGUGUAGGCGGCUGGGUAGGUCCGUUGUGAAAACUCGAGGCUCAACCUCGAGACGCCGAUGGAAACCCCCCAGCUAGAGUCCGGAAGAGGAGAGUGGAAUUCCUGGUGUAGCGGUGAAAUGCGCAGAUAUCGGGAAGAACACCCGUGGCGAAGGCGGUUCUCUGGGACGGUACUGACGCUGAGACGCGAAAGCGUGGGGAGCGAACAGG
Molecule: ribosomal RNA, 253 nt
Filed under: uncultured bacterium
Lineage: Bacteria
Description: partial 16S ribosomal RNA
Rfam family: Bacterial small subunit ribosomal RNA
Source: RNAcentral